AGUUACGAGGCAGAGUCUCUCUGUCUCUUCCCUGCCUGUUCCUUCCAUCCCACAGUAGGGAAUGAUUCCAACCCAGAUCUUUCUGGCUAGGAUGUCACCCUCCAGACACACCGGGCCUGCAUUGAAGGUGACAUCGAGAAGAAGAGCAAGCCUGCCGUGUGCCCUGGGUCAUCACAGUUCCUCAGAGCUGAGGACAAUGUGAGAAGUGGGACCUUCUAAGAGGCUAUCCACGGGGUACAGGAAGCCAGCAGCAGGCUCCUGGAGGAGGUGGUACAGUGUGGAAGGCCACAGAGGUAUCUCAUGGAACCUGGAGCUAGCUCACCAAGUCAGCUAGAUUAGCUGGCUGGCAGGCCAUAGUGACACCCCAGUCUCCGCAGACCCCAAGACCGGAUUACCCGGGAUUGCUGGGGGUUGACUCCAAAGGGCCAGGGCCCCCUGCUACCUGUCCCCACCAGAAACCUCCCAUCCUGUUGUCCCUCCAGCAGGGGAGCAGGAGCGAGUGCUGUUGCUAGGCAAGAGGAUGCAGCACAUAUAGAUCUUCCUGGACUUUAAUUAAAAACAUCUUUAGAAGUCGUCU
RNAcentral lists this long non-coding RNA (577 nucleotides) under Mus pahari (shrew mouse). RNAcentral's name for it is "predicted gene 14397 (MGP_PahariEiJ_G0003405.1)". The record is from RNAcentral. Lineage: Eukaryota; Metazoa; Chordata; Mammalia; Rodentia; Muridae.